RNAcentral lists this ribosomal RNA (258 nucleotides) under uncultured bacterium. Its description in RNAcentral is "partial 16S ribosomal RNA". It matches the Rfam family "Bacterial small subunit ribosomal RNA", at positions 523 to 776 of the family's 1533-position model. The record is from RNAcentral.
UGACAGAGGUCCCGAGCGUUGUUCGGAUUCAGCUGGGCGUAAAGGGUGCGUAGGUGGCAUGAUAAGUUUGAAUGUGAAAUCUCCGGGGCUCAACCCGGAAAAUGCAUUGAAUACUAUCAGGCUGGAGGUUUGGAGGGGGGACUGGAAUUCUCGGUGUAGCAGUGAAAUGCGUAGAUAUCGAGAGGAACACCAGUGGCGAAAGGCGAGUCCCUGGACAACACCUGACACUGAGGCACGAAAGCUAGGGGAGCAAACAGG